Molecule: ribosomal RNA, 253 nt
Filed under: uncultured bacterium
Lineage: Bacteria
Description: partial 16S ribosomal RNA
Rfam family: Bacterial small subunit ribosomal RNA
Source: RNAcentral
UACGGGGGGGGCAAGCGUUGUUCGGAAUUACUGGGCGUAAAGGGCUCGUAGGUGGCCAACUAAGUCGGACGUGAAAUCCCUCAGCUUAACUGGGGAACUGCGUCCGAUACUGGAUGGCUUGAGUUUGGGAGAGGGAUGCGGAAUUCCAGGUGUAGCGGUGAAAUGCGUAGAUAUCUGGAGGAAUACCGGUGGCGAAGGCGGCAUCCUGGACCGAGAUUGACACUGAUGAGCGAAAGCUAGGGGAGCAAACGGG